Molecule: ribosomal RNA, 465 nt
Filed under: Vreelandella stevensii
Lineage: Bacteria; Pseudomonadati; Pseudomonadota; Gammaproteobacteria; Oceanospirillales; Halomonadaceae
Description: partial 16S ribosomal RNA
Rfam family: Bacterial small subunit ribosomal RNA
Source: RNAcentral
CCUACGGGCGGCAGCAGUGGGGAACAUUGGACAAUGGGGGCAACCCUGAUCCAGCCAUGCCGCGUGUGUGAAGAAGGCCCUCGGGUUGUAAAGCACUUUCAGUGAGGAAGAACGCCUGGUGGUUAAUACCCAUCAGGAAAGACAUCACUCACAGAAGAAGCACCGGCUAACUCCGUGCCAGCAGCCGCGGUAAUACGGAGGGUGCGAGCGUUAAUCGGAAUUACUGGGCGUAAAGCGCGCGUAGGUGGCUUGAUAAGCCGGUUGUGAAAGCCCCGGGCUCAACCUGGGAACGGCAUCCGGAACUGUCAAGCUAGAGUGCAGGAGAGGAAGGUAGAAUUCCCGGUGUAGCGGUGAAAUGCGUAGAGAUCGGGAGGAAUACCAGUGGCGAAGGCGGCCUUCUGGACUGACACUGACACUGAGGUGCGAAAGCGUGGGUAGCAAACAGGAUUAGAUACCCUGGUAGUC